This 265-nucleotide unclassified non-coding RNA is filed under the name Glomus sp. Its description in RNAcentral is "partial contains 5.8S ribosomal RNA and internal transcribed spacer 2". The stretch from base 1 to 72 matches the Rfam family "5.8S ribosomal RNA", at positions 84 to 154 of the family's 154-position model. The record is from RNAcentral. Lineage: Eukaryota; Fungi; Glomeromycota; Glomeromycetes; Glomerales; Glomeraceae.
GUGAAUCAUCAAAUUUUUGAACGCAAAUUGCACUCUCCGGUUUUCCGGGAGAGUAUGCUUGUUUGGGGGCCAGCCUAUAAAAAAUCGACAUUGUUGCUGUUUCGCGGUGGCGUUCGUCGGGAAUUGGGUCAUCUUAAAUCCUUUUGAUUUAAGCGACUUAAAUUUUUCUUUUGGUUCCAUGAACGUUUCUAAGAUCUAUUUCUUUACACGUUCAAGGAAUCGUUUUUUAUUAGACGUGACCAUCAUAUCGGAUCGCGUCCAUAAU